GGCACAGGACGUAGAGGACAUGGCUGUCUGC
Molecule: non-coding RNA, 31 nt
Filed under: Homo sapiens (human)
Lineage: Eukaryota; Metazoa; Chordata; Mammalia; Primates; Hominidae
Source: RNAcentral